This 500-nucleotide ribosomal RNA is filed under the name uncultured bacterium. RNAcentral's name for it is "bacterial SSU rRNA". It matches the Rfam family "Bacterial small subunit ribosomal RNA", at positions 29 to 524 of the family's 1533-position model. The record is from RNAcentral.
AACGAACGCUGGCGGCGCGCCUAAUACAUGCAAGUCGAGCGAGAAGACGUAGCAAUACGUUUGUAAAGCGGCGAACGGGUGAGGAAUACAUGGGUAACCUACCCUCGAGUGGGGAAUAACUAGCCGAAAGGUUAGCUAGUACCGCGUACGCUCCUUGGACUUCGGUUCAGGGAGGAAAGCGAUACCGUGGGUAUGCGCUCUUGGAUGGGCUCAUGUCCUAUCAGCUUGUUGGUGAGGAACGGCUCACCAAGGCUUCGACGGGUAGCUGGUCUGAGAGGACGAUCAGCCACACUGGCACUGCGACACGGGCCAGACUCCUACGGGAGGCAGCAGUAAGGAAUAUUGCGCAAUGGGCGAAAGCCUGACGCAGCGACGCCGCGUGGGGGAUGAAGGUCUUCGGAUUGUAAACCCCUUUCGGGAGGGAAGAUGGAACGAGCAAUCGUUCGGACGGUACCUCCAGAAGCAGCCACGGCUAACUUCGUGCCAGCCGCCGCCGUAAU